Pseudophryne corroboree (corroboree frog) is the source of this 243-nucleotide long non-coding RNA. RefSeq lists it as uncharacterized. The transcript has 3 exons. NCBI's taxonomy places the organism in Eukaryota, Metazoa, Chordata, Amphibia, Anura, Myobatrachidae. The record is from RefSeq and is a predicted model, not a curated record.
UCCGUUCUGUGAGCUUUACUGAGGAAGUUGCAUUGCAUUGUGAUUGUCAAAUCAGCUUUAUACUUUUUGAAUUAUAUUUUUAUGGGUAAACACCCGAAUCUGAAAUAAUUCUGAUUAUAAGAUCUGGAUAUUCUCCAUAGCAGUCCACCAAAAUAUGGAUGUAUAACUGCCAGUAUCUUUAAAAAGAACUUCAAUCAAUAGUUUUUAUAAGGAACUCCCUAAAUAGAGUUCUUUUAAUUAUUU